Molecule: ribosomal RNA, 490 nt
Filed under: uncultured bacterium
Lineage: Bacteria
Description: partial 16S ribosomal RNA
Rfam family: Bacterial small subunit ribosomal RNA
Source: RNAcentral
GAUGAACGCUAGCUACAGGCUUAACACAUGCAAGUCGCGGGGCAGCAUGGGGGUUGCUUGCAAUCCCCGAUGGCGACCGGCGCACGGGUGAGUAACGCGUAUCCAACCUGCCCUUCACCACGGGAUAACCCGGCGAAAGUCGGACUAAUACCGUAUGUUGUCCAUUGACGGCAUCCGAUUUGGUCGAAAGGGUUGGCGGUGAAGGAUGGGGAUGCGUCCGAUUAGCUGGACGGCGGGGUGACGGCCCACCGUGGCGACGAUCGGUAGGGGUUCUGAGAGGAAGGUCCCCCACACUGGAACUGAGACACGGUCCAGACUCCUACGGGAGGCAGCAGUGAGGAAUAUUGGUCAAUGGGCGUAAGCCUGAACCAGCCAAGUAGCGUGCAGGAUGACGGCCCUAUGGGUUGUAAACUGCUUUUAUGCGGGGAUAAAGUGGCCCACGUGUGGGUUUUUGCAGGUACCGCAUGAAUAAGGACCGGCUAAUUCCGUG